UUACAGCUCUUUGGUAGCAGAUGCUCUGGUUCCGUUCCUCUCUUCGUUCAGUUUAAUGUCCAAGUCCCGGAGCUGGCUGAGGAACCCUGAAUUUGGGCAGAUGUCUCUGUGAGCACUCACUGUUUUCAGAGCAUCCACGAUUGUCAUGUUUUCAUGGAUCAUUAAGAACGCAAGCACUAAAGAUGCUGAGCGGCUCACCCCCAUGGCACAAUGAACAAACACCUUACCUGCCAAAACAAAAGAGGCAGAGCAGGUGAAUACCCCUGAACACUCAGCUAUACUGGUAUGCUUGCAUCUGUCUGUCUCAGUCUCUCCUCUGGGAGCUGUUCUACUUUGUAUAAAUAAUGUGAUAGCUGUUUGCCUCCAGAGAGAGGCUGUUUCUCUCAUAUGAGGGUUAUGGUCUUUACCUGGGAUGUGAGAAAAAACGCUCUCAAUUCUGGGAAAUUAUAGAGCUGAAAGUUCUGGCUUUGUUGCCCUGUUGAGAAUCCGAUCUAGGACCCCAUACAGCUUUGUUCCCAUACAGAUCAUGCAGUAGAAGAUGAGUAUCCCUUUUGCAAUGUUGUAUGUUGGUUUAGAUCCAGGAAGCUUGGACUAGUCAGUCCAGCUUAAAGCAGAGCUUCAGUCAAGAGCAAGAGUUCAAUGAUAUCUAAGUGGUCCCUUCCCUGAGACUUUACGAGCAUUUCUCAUUAUCCUGAGUUGCUGUUCUCACCCCCAGAGAAUACUGAUAAACUUUGUUUGGUUGCUUGUUGGUAUUAAGGCUAUAAUAGAACUCUUCCCAAAGCAAGGUGGCCAGUUUAUUCUGACAUGGCAUCAACUUUCACUGUAGCGCCUGAAUGCCUACAUCUAGAGUUUGGCUUUAUUUUCCCAGCAAUUCUAGAAAACAAGUGCAGAUGGGACCUUCAGAAGUCAUCUAGUCUGACCCCUGCCCAGCAGCAGCAGCUGCCAGAUGGAUGUUGCUCCAAACAUCCAGGUACCUGAUUUUGAACAGCAUACGUUGAUUUGGGGAAUAGGCAGAGAGCAAGGGAAAAUGUCUUGUUGCUUAUGGAAAAAGAAGUAGAGAUGAUGCAAGGCAUAUUACUGAACACACCAUAUAUAUUUCUGUGACCUCAGCCUAAAUUUGCUUCCUCUGCCCCCUUUUCCCUCCUCCUCCCCAGGAAUGUUAAGAGCACUUACAGCUUUUUGUAUGUUCCAGUAAAAAGGAAGUCUCCCUAGGGUAACUACUUAAUAAGGAAAAUAUGAAAAGCACAAUAAAAAUGAUGGGAGAGAUGGAAAAAACCUGACUGGUUUUACUUUUAAUGAUGAAGGAAAAGAACAGCAGGGAAGUAUAGAGCACUAUAUAGGUAAAAGCCUACAAAUUUUUCAGGGCACAUAACACCAAAAGCUUUGGUAAAAGAGUAUGUUGUGCAAUCCCAGCACAGAUUAGCAUGAAGAGCAGCACAGGAAAAGGUACUGUGCCUUGCCCUACAAGUUUUACUGCCUUGCAGCAGAAGUCAUGCACUGUGCUCAAGAGCUACUGCCAGCAUUGUCAUGAUGACCUGUUUGUACUUUCACCGACACAGAACAUUAAGCUGAAGCAGAAAAAGGAAACCAAGAAAAAGAUAAUAAAUACAGCUUCUACAUCAGGAGAUUCAUAAGAUCACAGGCUCAUUUUCAAGCAGUGUGGUUGACUCUCAAUUGCUGCAGAUGUUUAAAGGCUGAGGUUGUGCAGGUAAGCAGACGGAUAUUAAACUUGCAGUUCUCCUAGCCCCCGCUUCUUUAAACUUCUGUUGCAGCCUGUCAGCUAGUUACAGUAAUGGAGAUGAUUAGCAGAGAGAGGGAAAGGGAUGUUUGGCAGAGAGAAUUACAUUGCGAAGCCUUUUGUUCGAGACCCGACUUUGAGGAGGUUCUCCAAGAAUUGAGUCGUUCUGGUGCCGGUGAAACUUAGCAGGCAACUCCAGCCUUUGUAGCCAGGGAGGUGUUUUGCAACAGAGCUCCCUUUCAUUCAGCAGUCCUCUUUCCAAAAAGUGUGUCAACAUCAUUCGCUUCACAUGACUAAUGCCAGACAAGUGAGCUCCUCAUGUCAACACCAAGAAGCAUAGCUCCUCCCAAGCACACCGCUCAGUCCUGCGUUGCACUGGCUUUGAAAUUGAAUUGCUCUGCCGGGCCUUUGGGGUAAGCUUGGAAAUAGCUAUACCAGAUGAUUGAACUAAUGAGGAAAGUAAUAUGAAUUUUUUAAUUGAAGGCCAGGGACUUUGCUAGAAGUGUCGUCCCCCCUGCCUUCCACUGUAAGAUACUGCAAAGCUAGCAGAAGUGCUGCCACUGAUUACAUUUCUCUAAGCUUCUCCCUCCGGGUGGCUCCCAGAAGCUGCUCUAGUUGGAAAGAGCCAGUGACUGCAGGAGGGCAGGAGCCUCUGUAACUGGGUGGGGGG
Molecule: long non-coding RNA, 2408 nt
Organism: Pezoporus flaviventris
Lineage: Eukaryota; Metazoa; Chordata; Aves; Psittaciformes; Psittacidae
Exons: 2
Source: RefSeq, a predicted model, not a curated record